RNAcentral lists this ribosomal RNA (498 nucleotides) under uncultured Candidatus Nemicrothrix sp. RNAcentral describes it as "bacterial SSU rRNA". It matches the Rfam family "Bacterial small subunit ribosomal RNA", at positions 8 to 527 of the family's 1533-position model. The record is from RNAcentral. Lineage: Bacteria; Bacillati; Actinomycetota; Acidimicrobiia; Acidimicrobiales; Microthrixaceae.
AGAGUUUGAUCAUGGCUCAGAACGAACGCUGGCGGCAGGCCUAACACAUGCAAGUCGAACGAGAAGCCACCUUCGGGUGGUGGACAGUGGCAGACGGGUGAGUAACGCGUGGGAACGUGCCUUUCGGUUCGGGAUAACCCAGGGAAACUUGGGCUAAUACCGGAUGCCGUCGGAGCGCCGCAUGGUGCAUCGACRAAAGUUUUUCGGUUCGGGAGGGCCUCGCGGCCUAUCAGCUAGUUGGUGGGGUAACGGCCUACCAAGGCGUCGACGGGUAGCUGGUCUGAGAGGAUGACCAGCCACACUGGGACUGAGACACGGCCCAGACUCCUACGGGAGGCAGCAGUGGGGAAUCUUGCGCAAUGGGCGAAAGCCUGACGCAKCAACGCCGCGUGCGGGAUGAAGGCCUUCGGGUUGUAAACCGCUUUCAGUAGGAACGAAAAUGACGGUACCUACAGAAGAAGGUCCGGCCAACUACGUGCCAGCCGCCGCGGUAAUACA